ACGCAUCUUCAGGGCAGGGUGAAAUUCCCGAUCGGCGGUUCAGUCCGCGAGCAUCACGAUCGCAAUCAGCAGUCGCGAUGCCGAACCGGUGAGAUUCCGGUACCGACAGUCAUAGUCUGGAUGAAAGAAGCUGCGG
This 136-nucleotide non-coding RNA is filed under the name Bifidobacterium stellenboschense. RNAcentral describes it as "FMN sequence". It matches the Rfam family "FMN riboswitch aptamer (RFN element)". From Rfam's summary of the family: The RFN element is a highly conserved domain that is found frequently in the 5'-untranslated regions of prokaryotic mRNAs that encode for flavin mononucleotide (FMN) biosynthesis and transport proteins. Lineage: Bacteria; Bacillati; Actinomycetota; Actinomycetes; Bifidobacteriales; Bifidobacteriaceae. The record is from Rfam by way of RNAcentral.